This 449-nucleotide ribosomal RNA is filed under the name uncultured bacterium. RNAcentral describes it as "partial 16S ribosomal RNA". It matches the Rfam family "Bacterial small subunit ribosomal RNA", at positions 29 to 523 of the family's 1533-position model. The record is from RNAcentral.
AACGAACGCUGGCGGCAUGCCUAACACAUGCAAGUCGAACGAAGGCUUCGGCCUUAGUGGCGCACGGGUGCGUAACGCGUGGGAAUCUGCCCCUCGGUUCGGAAUAACAGUUAGAAAUGACUGCUAAUACCGGAUGAUGACUUCGGUCCAAAGAUUUAUCGCCGAGGGAUGAGCCCGCGUAAGAUUAGGUAGUUGGUGGGGUAAAGGCCUACCAAGCCGACGAUCUUUAGCUGGUCUGAGAGGAUGAUCAGCCACACUGGGACUGAGACACGGCCCAGACUCCUACGGGAGGCAGCAGUGGGGAAUAUUGGACAAUGGGCGAAAGCCUGAUCCAGCAAUGCCGCGUGAGUGAUGAAGGCCUUAGGGUUGUAAAGCUCUUUUACCAGGGAUGAUAAUGACAGUACCUGGAGAAUAAGCUCCGGCUAACUCCGUGCCAGCCGCCGCAGUAA